This 225-nucleotide ribosomal RNA is filed under the name Yamadazyma nakazawae. RNAcentral's name for it is "partial 26S rRNA". It matches the Rfam family "Eukaryotic large subunit ribosomal RNA", at positions 1623 to 1848 of the family's 3401-position model. The record is from RNAcentral. Lineage: Eukaryota; Fungi; Ascomycota; Pichiomycetes; Serinales; Debaryomycetaceae.
ACUUGGAUAUGGAUUCUUCACGGUAACGUAACUGAAUGUGGAGACGUCGGCGUGGGCCCUGGGAGGAGUUNUNUNUUCUUCUUAACAGCUUAUCACCCUGGAAUUGGUUUAUCCGGAGAUAGGGUNUUAUGGCUGGAAGAGCGCAGUACUUUUGCUGCGUCUNGGGCGCCUACGACGGUCCUUGAAAAUCCACAGGAAGGAAUAGUUUUCAUGCUAGGUCGUACU